GGAGAGGUGGCUGAGUGGUUGAUAGCUCCGGUCUUGAAAACCGGUAUAGUUUUGAUAUUAUCGAGGGUUCGAAUCCCUCUCUCUCCU
This 87-nucleotide transfer RNA is filed under the name Allium forrestii. RNAcentral's name for it is "tRNA-Ser". It matches the Rfam family "tRNA". Rfam says of the family: Transfer RNA (tRNA) molecules are approximately 80 nucleotides in length. Lineage: Eukaryota; Viridiplantae; Streptophyta; Magnoliopsida; Asparagales; Amaryllidaceae. The record is from RNAcentral.